This 338-nucleotide long non-coding RNA is filed under the name Malus domestica (apple). RNAcentral describes it as "long non-coding RNA (MDOM_LNC005891)". Lineage: Eukaryota; Viridiplantae; Streptophyta; Magnoliopsida; Rosales; Rosaceae. The record is from RNAcentral.
UUGGUUAAGAUCCAACGGUCGGAUCGUUAAUUCAUAUAAGGAUCAAGUGGUGGUCUUUAUCAAAACUAUGUUCAAACGAUGAGAUUUCAUCAAUUGGACUUCACCUCGGCCCACGCGCUACUACACACAACGGUCAGCAGCCUCGGCUUACCGAAAAAUUUAACUAUUUCAAAAAUUACCAAAUUUUAUAAGCAUGUAGAGCAAGUCAAGGGGGACAAUUUUCAUACAUGGGCCAAGGUCUAAUUUGGCCAGGAAACACCUGAAUUUUGCAUCGAUCUGUUGGAAACCCUAGAAAUGGGUGUCCCUUGAUUCGUCCUCAAUCUUGUUUGGGCCUUGUU